UAAGCGGAGGAAAAGAAACUAACAAGGAUUCCCCUAGUAACGGCGAGUGAAGCGGGAAGAGCUCAAAUUUGAAAUCUGGUAGCCUUCGGCUGCCCGAGUUGUAAUCUAGAGAAGUGUUUUCCGUGCCGGCCCAUGUACAAGUCCCUUGGAACAGGGCGUCAUAGAGGGUGAGAAUCCCGUCCUUGACAUGGACCCCCGGUGCUUUGUGAUACACUUUCAACGAGUCGAGUUGUUUGGGAAUGCAGCUCAAAAUGGGUGGUGAAUUCCAUCUAAAGCUAAAUAUUGGCGAGAGACCGAUAGCGAACAAGUACCGUGAGGGAAAGAUGAAAAGCACUUUGGAAAGAGAGUUAAACAGUACGUGAAAUUGUUGAAAGGGAAACGAUUGAAGUCAGUCAUGCUCUUUGGAUUCAGCCGUUCUGCGGUGUAUUUCCAUUGAGUGGGGUCAACAUCAGUUUUGACCGCUGGAUAAAGGCACUAGGAAGGUAGCACUCUCGGGUGAACUUAUAGCCUAGCGUCAUAUACAGUGGUUGGGACUGAGGAACGCAGCAUGCCUUUAUGGCCGGGAUUCGUCCACGUACAUGCUUAGGAUGUUGACAUAAUGGCUUUAAACGACCCGUCUUG
RNAcentral lists this ribosomal RNA (621 nucleotides) under Naganishia uzbekistanensis. RNAcentral describes it as "eukaryotic LSU rRNA". It matches the Rfam family "Eukaryotic large subunit ribosomal RNA", at positions 47 to 656 of the family's 3401-position model. Lineage: Eukaryota; Fungi; Basidiomycota; Tremellomycetes; Filobasidiales; Filobasidiaceae. The record is from RNAcentral.